AGGACGAACGCUGGCGGCGUGCUUAACACAUGCAAGUCGAGCGGAAAGGCCCUUCGGGGUACUCGAGCGGCGAACGGGUGAGUAACACGUGGGCAACCUGCCCCUAGCUCUGGGAUAACUCCGGGAAACCGGUGCUAAUACCGGAUACGACCUCAUUUGGCAUCCUUUGAGGUGGAAAGAUUUAUUGGCUAGGGAUGGGCCCGCGGCCUAUCAGCUUGUUGGUGGGGUAAUGGCCUACCAAGGCGACGACGGGUA
Molecule: ribosomal RNA, 255 nt
Filed under: uncultured bacterium
Lineage: Bacteria
Description: partial small subunit ribosomal RNA
Rfam family: Bacterial small subunit ribosomal RNA
Source: RNAcentral